RNAcentral lists this long non-coding RNA (1492 nucleotides) under Monodelphis domestica (gray short-tailed opossum). RNAcentral describes it as "lncRNA (ENSMODG00000034378.2)". Lineage: Eukaryota; Metazoa; Chordata; Mammalia; Didelphimorphia; Didelphidae. The record is from RNAcentral.
CAGAGAGGCCAGCAAGCACUCUAGCCACAGCAUAUGGUAAAGUCUCUGCUUAAUUAAUGCAUCCUCAAUAGAAUUUAUCCAUUUUAAAUUUGUUUUCUUUUACUUGAAACAUCAUUAAUGUAAAGGGCAACAUUAAUCAACAUCUUGGAACUUAAAAGGGCAUUAAAGAGUGAUCUUUUCCCCUACGCAACAGAAUCUUUUCAAGUAGUUUUGUUUAACUGCAUCUCAUUCCAGGCACAUUCCACCGGGUCCGCGAGCAAAAGGCAAAUCUAGAGAGGCCCCUACUGGCCAGUGUUUUGAGCUGCAAGAGUCAAUUUUGAACUGUCUUGGAAAAAAAAAAGAGAGAUAGCUGGGAAAUAAAUGACUUUCAGCUUUUAUCUUAAAGUUGCACACAGAAGGGAUUACUGAUAAACAUAAUGUACAAAACACUGGAUAAUUGUGCUGCCACUUUUGAAGUCCUCCUCUCUAACUUUGCUUCUUUUCAGAAAAUAAAGAGAGUCCAAGGAUUUGGUCUACCUCUGAUGCUUGUGGGUACUUCUGUGACAUUUGCAGAUACUUUAAGAUUAUGCAACGAGAAAAUAACAGAACAUUCCAGGUUCUUACUCGCCUGACACUUUGAAUGCCUCUGUGGUUCUCCACAGUUCUACUUAUGCAGUGAGCUUGGUCAAGCAUACAAUGAACUGGCCAAAAGGUUAGUGCAGGGAGGUAUUUGUUUUAAUAUGGUACUUGGGCUAUUCCCGUUAGUAUGGGAUGUAUGAGAAGCCAUAAGAAAUAUGGCUAAUUAUUCAUCAGGCAAUUGUGUUGAUGUCUCUGAGCCACCUUUGGCUCUUCUGGGUAGCUUUGUUUGUGCAAAAUAAGCACAUGUUUUAAAAGGUCACUUGGAUGCCAGGCAUGCAGUAAAUGAAUUAUUAUAUCUGCAUCAAUCUCAAAAGCACACUGUUUACUUCAUGGAACAGUACAUUGACCACCCUUCGCAUUGUAACAUGACACAUUUGCUUCCUUAUAUUCCUUACUAGAGAUUAAAUUAUAAUAAUAAUGAUUAUCAUCGUUUUGUAGGCUAACACAUGAUCAAAGGAAAAUGACUCAUGAUAAUGAACAGCCAGAAACAAAGGGAUUAUUUUAAGGACAUAAAGGCCAUCAUAAAAACCACAGGGCACAAAAUUUAUACAAAAUCAUUUGGCCAGAAUCCUGACAAUUAACUCGGACGAAAAAAUGUGGUCAGGGUGCACCGAAGCAAAGAAGUGGAGGCUACCAAAGUUGGGCUUGAUAUUGUCUUUCUUUUUUUCAUGGAGUACCUGAGCUAGGGAGUCUGCUGAUGCUUAUGAUUAUCAUGGAGAAAAGAAAAGAAAAGGAAAGGAAAGGAAAAGAAGCAAGGAAGGCAAGGAAAGAAAGAAAGAACUGAAGAAGAGAAGAAAAGAAGGAAGAAAGAAAUGAAAGAAGGAAGAAGGAAGGAAAGAAGAAGGAAGAAGGAAGGAAGAAGAAGAAGAAAGAA